Molecule: ribosomal RNA, 274 nt
Filed under: Russula versicolor
Lineage: Eukaryota; Fungi; Basidiomycota; Agaricomycetes; Russulales; Russulaceae
Description: partial large subunit ribosomal RNA
Source: RNAcentral
ACGCUUGAAGUCAGUCGCGUCGACCGAGACUCAGCCUUGCCUCGGCUUGGUGUACUUCUCGGCUGACGGGUCAGCAUCAAUUUUGCCCCUUGGAUAAUGGCGAGGGAAAUGUGACACCUUUACGGUGUGUUAUAGUCUUUCGUCGCAUGCAAGGGUCGGGAUUGAGGAACUCAGCACGCGCCCUCGGGCGUCGGGGUUUUCGCCCACGAUACGUGCUUAGGAUGUUGGCGUAAUGGCUUUAAACGACCCGUCUUGAAACACGGACCAAGGAGUC